This 497-nucleotide ribosomal RNA is filed under the name uncultured bacterium. RNAcentral describes it as "partial 16S ribosomal RNA". It matches the Rfam family "Bacterial small subunit ribosomal RNA", at positions 28 to 507 of the family's 1533-position model. The record is from RNAcentral.
GAUGAACGCUGGCGGCGUGCCUAAUACAUGCAAGUCGAGCGAACAGACGAGGAGCUUGCCCCUCUGACGUUAGCGGCGGACGGGUGAGUAACACGUGUAUAACCUACCUAUAAGACUGGGAUAACUUCGGGAAACCGGAGCUAAUCCCGGAUAAUAUAUUGAACCGCAUGGUUCAAUAGUGAAAGACGGUUUUGCUGUCACUUAUCGAUGGAUCCGCGCCGCAUUAGCUAGUUGGUAAGGUAACGGCUUACCAAGGCAACGAUGCGUAGCCGACCUGAGAGGGUGAUCGGCCACACUGGAACUGAGACACGGUCCAGGCUCCUACGGGAGGCAGCAGUAGGGAAUCGUCCGCAAUGGGCGAAAGCCUGACGGAGCAACGCCGCGUGAGUGAUGAAGGUCUUCGGAUCGUAAAACUCUGUUAUUAGGGAAGAACAAAUGUGUAAGUAACUAUGCACGUCUUGACGGUACCUAAUCAGAAAGCCACGGCUAACUACGUG